GCUCAACCGAGGAAGUGCUUCGAAAACUGGUAAACUUGAGUGCAGAAGAGGAAAGUGGAACUCCAUGUGUAGCGGUGGAAUGCGUAGAUAUAUGGAAGAACACCAGUGGCGAAGGCGGCUUUCUGGUCUGUAACUGACGCUGAGAUUCGAAAGCAUGGGUAGCAAACAGGAUUAGAUACCCUGGUAGUCCAUGCCGUAAACGAUGAGUGCUAAGUGUUGGAGGGUUUCCGCCCUUCAGUGCUGCAGCUAACGCAUUAAGCACUCCGCCUGGGGAGUACGACCGCAAGGUUGAAACUCAAAGGAAUUGACGGGGGCCCGCACAUGCGGUGGAGCAUGUGGUUUAAUUCGAAGCAACGCGAAGAACCUUACCAGGUCUUGACAUACCAUGAAAAGCUUAGAGAUAAGUCUUUCCCUUCGGGGACAUGGAUACAGGUGGUGCAUGGUUGUCGUCAGCUCGUGUCGUGAGAUGUUGGGUUAAGUCCCGCAACGAGCGCAACCCUUAUUAUCAGUUGCCAGCAUUCAGUUGGGCACUCUGGUGAGACUGCCGGUGACAAACCGGAGGAAGGUGGGGACGACGUCAAAUCAUCAUGCCCCUUAUGACCUGGGCUACACACGUGCUACAAUGGUCGGUACAACG
This 637-nucleotide ribosomal RNA is filed under the name uncultured bacterium. RNAcentral's name for it is "bacterial SSU rRNA". It matches the Rfam family "Bacterial small subunit ribosomal RNA", at positions 607 to 1244 of the family's 1533-position model. The record is from RNAcentral.